GAUGAACGCUAGCUACAGGCUUAACACAUGCAAGUCGCGGGGCAGCAUGAAUUUAGCUUGCUAAAUUGAUGGCGACCGGCGCACGGGUGAGUAACGCGUAUCCAACCUUCCCCUGUCCACGGGAUAGCCCGUCGAAAGGCGGAUUAAUACCGUAUGAGGUCACACGAUGGCAUCAGACUGUGACGAAAGGUUUUGCGGACAGGGAUGGGGAUGCGUCCGAUUAGGUAGUCGGCGGGGUAACGGCCCACCGAGCCGACGAUCGGUAGGGGUUCUGAGAGGAAGGUCCCCCACAUUGGAACUGAGACACGGUCCAAACUCCUACGGGAGGCAGCAGUGAGGAAUAUUGGUCAAUGGGCGGAAGCCUGAACCAGCCAAGUAGCGUGCAGGAUGACGGCCCUACGGGUUGUAAACUGCUUUUAGGCGGGGGUAAAGGGGCGGACGUGUUCCGCCUUUGCAAGUACCGCCAGAAAAAGGACCGGCUAAUUCCGUG
This 490-nucleotide ribosomal RNA is filed under the name uncultured bacterium. Its description in RNAcentral is "bacterial SSU rRNA". It matches the Rfam family "Bacterial small subunit ribosomal RNA", at positions 28 to 507 of the family's 1533-position model. The record is from RNAcentral.